RNAcentral lists this long non-coding RNA (1437 nucleotides) under Athene cunicularia (burrowing owl). RNAcentral's name for it is "lncRNA (ENSACUG00000002135.1)". Lineage: Eukaryota; Metazoa; Chordata; Aves; Strigiformes; Strigidae. The record is from RNAcentral.
CUUAUUUUUUCUUCCCUGUUAGCUUCUGAUGGGACGACUGUGCUUGGAAAUUUGCCAGAGUAGAUAUCCAGAAAAAUUAUUGACGGUUAAAAUGUUUGGUUCCAACAUGAAUAAAGCAGAAUAAUGAGAAUAAAACCACAAAACCCUCUUAUUCUGGAGGAACAGUGUCCAAAAGGGGAGUUCUGGAAUAGCUGUUGUGGUAAACAGCCAGUGUAGGAAGCACUUGCUGCUAGGUACUGUAGUGGCUUUUUAAAAAGACCUUUAUAAGGAAGAACAUUAGAUGUUGAAAAGAACAUCUUGGCUCUUAGAGCAGAGCCAAGAUAAACUCAGAGGAGGCAAGAAAACUAAAUAACUAAAUAUUUAAACAAAUGAGGACCAGAAUAUGUUUGGCUCUGUCCAAAUUCACAUGAGAGGUGAAAGUCUCAAAGAGCUCUUCUCUUGCAGAUGUUCCUAUAUGGUUUACAGGAAAGAAUAAGAGACUAGUGCAGCACUAGACAGUGUCAACUAAAAAGGAAUCCUGAACUACUCUGCAGUCAAGAUGGCUGGGUGGUCACAGACCUUCACUGAACUGACAGUUGUUUCAACAGCAUUAAAAAGGCAUAAACAAGGAGUGAUUGAGGAGAAGGCCAGAGAUUCCACAACACAGCAAGGAGAGUACAGCCAGAAAACCAUCUCAGUGUAUUCUUCUGUGCAGAAAGGCACAAUGCCAGUUAUUCCACAGUGCCAGAACAACUUUUCUGAGGAAAUGCAUAAUAUUGAAAGAGACCUUUGAACAAGGAAACUCCUGCUGUCAUCAUCUGCCUGAAAUGUGACGGAAGGAGCCAGUGCUUGAAGGCAGAGUUAGGAGUCUGUUAGGAAUUACAAGCCGGGAGUCCCUUGUGAGUAACAGAAACAAAUUGGGCUAUGGACACUGUUCUGUGGAAUAUAUGGCCGCAGUUCCUUCCAGGAAACCUAGCCAAAACCACUUUUGAACUCUCUGUUAAAUGCACGUAUUUGGCUCAUAUUCAAGGUUAGCUAAGUAAAAUGUGAUUAAGUAUUUGUGGCCCUAGCUCUUCGCUGAUACUUAAGGUUUUACAUCCAGUGGAACUUAGAGGACAAACUCAUUACCAUUUGUCUAAGUCUACAAGUAUGUGGUAUGAAAGGUAAAAAUACUCUGAUUUUAGAACUUUCUGUAGCACAAUUAUAAAAAUAGGAACUAAGCAAAUACAUACUUGUAUUCAAGCCUAUUUUCUACUUUCAUAAUAUGUGCAUUCUUUACUUAUGUAUUUGCUGUAGAAAUUUAGGAUUCAUUCCUAAACUCUGCCCCAAACUCUGGUGUUCUCCUGAUUAAGGAUACCAGUUAAACUCAGACACCAGAGUGAAAAGAGCAUGUGUAUUUUACUAGUGAUAACCAAUGUAACAGCAUAAUACAGAAAACAUGCAGUAAGAAAAAGCAGA